UACAGAGAGUGCAAGCGUUAAUCAGAAUUACUGGGCGUAAAGCGCGCGUAGGUGGAUAUUUAAGUCGAAUAUGAAAGCCCCGGGCUCAACCUGGGAAUUGCAUCCGAUACUGGGUAUCUAGAGUAUGGUAGAGGGAAGUGGAAUUUCCGGUGUAGCGGUGAAAUGCGUAGAUAUCGGAAGGAACACCAGUGGCGAAGGCGGCUUCCUGGACCAAUACUGACACUGAGGCGCGAAAGCGUGGGGAGCAAACAGG
RNAcentral lists this unclassified non-coding RNA (253 nucleotides) under uncultured Gammaproteobacteria bacterium. Its description in RNAcentral is "contains 16S-23S intergenic spacer region". It matches the Rfam family "Bacterial small subunit ribosomal RNA", at positions 524 to 776 of the family's 1533-position model. Lineage: Bacteria; Pseudomonadati; Pseudomonadota; Gammaproteobacteria. The record is from RNAcentral.